Molecule: long non-coding RNA, 1093 nt
Organism: Nerophis ophidion (straightnose pipefish)
Lineage: Eukaryota; Metazoa; Chordata; Actinopteri; Syngnathiformes; Syngnathidae
Exons: 8
Source: RefSeq, a predicted model, not a curated record
CACUUUACAUGGUGUUCAAGAUGGUUACUUCCGCCCACUCUGAAGAGUCUCGGCGUCUGAUUGGUCCAAUUUUCAGUUAGGCGCCGCCUGAUUGGCCGCUGGACGAUGUCUGCUCCUAACAGAUGGCUAAAUCACUAGUUAACUAUUUUCAUCAUGGAAGUUAUACAGCUCAUGUAUCACACUUAAUAUUGAAUAUAUAUAUAAAAAGGGUUUUCCAAAAGGACCAUUUAUAAUCGAAAUACACAACUUCACACACGAUUUUGAGCACAACAGAGCGCUCAGUGAACAUCACUUCCGGGACCUGCAUCACCGGAGGGGGACAUCUAUCUUGGUCACAAACCAUCUUUGACAGUCUUCGACAGCAUGGUUGAAUCAGGCGCAUCAACACAUGAUAUAGACAUCGUGCCCAAAAGAAGAGCGAGACGUAAUCCUGAGGCUGAAGCCACCGAGUUUAUUUGAUCUGGAUGUGACAAGUCUUGUUUUAAGGCCCAGUGGAUCAAUGAUUGGAAAGACACCAACUGUUGAUGUUCUAUCUCAACAUUCUCCAGAUUCAUGUGAGCGAUAAACCGACUUCAUCCCUCCAACAGACACCAACUGUUGGGGUUCUAUCUCAACAUUCUCCAGAUUCAGAUGUGAGCGAUAAACCGACUUCAUCCCUCCAACAGAAACCAACUGUUGAGGUUCCAUCUCAACAUUCUCCGGAUUCAGAUGUGAGCCAUUAACUGACUUCAUCCCUCCAACAGAAACCAACUGUUUGAGGUUCUAUCUCAACAUUCUCUAGAUUCAGAUGACAGCCAUAAACCGACUUCAUCCCUCCAACAGAUUGACAGCAGGACAAAUCGCUGGAAGUGGGUAUGUCUCAAGCUUCUUCCACUUGGUCCACUCCAAAGCGGGCUGCAAAGGGGAAGAAGUGGAAGCAGUUGAAUGACACAUGUUGCAUUUUGUAACUGGCAACAAAGUACCAGGUAAAAAAGAUUGUGAAGCCUGCCUCCAUAAAGAACUAGUAGCUCUACAGGACAGAGAUUGGCUUGCCAUCAAGUACUACAUCCAUAACAGAAUUAUAUUAAAAAAAGGGAAAAAAAAUGUUUUCCCA